ACACUCCUGCGGGAGGCAGCAGUGAGGAAUAUUGGACAAUGGGUGGAAGCCUGAUCCAGCCAUCCCGCGUGCAGGAAGACGGCCCUAUGGGUUGUAAACUGCUUUUAUCUGGGGAUAAACCUACUUACGUGUAAGUAGCUGAAGGUACCAGAAGAAUAAGCACCGGCUAACUCCGUGCCAGCAGCCGCGGUAAUACGGAGGGUGCAAGCGUUAUCCGGAUUUAUUGGGUUUAAAGGGUCCGUAGGCGGACUGAUAAGUCAGUGGUGAAAUCCGACAGCUUAACUGUCGAACUGCCAUUGAUACUGUUAGUCUUGAGUAAGGUUGAAGUGGCUGGAAUAAGUAGUGUAGCGGUGAAAUGCAUAGAUAUUACUUAGAACACCAAUUGCGAAGGCAGGUCACUAAGUCUUAACUGACGCUGAUGGACGAAAGCGUGGGGAGCGAACAGGAUUAGAAACCCGUGUAGUCC
Molecule: ribosomal RNA, 466 nt
Filed under: uncultured organism
Description: partial 16S ribosomal RNA
Rfam family: Bacterial small subunit ribosomal RNA
Source: RNAcentral